UGUUCGGAGAGUUUGAUCCUGGCUCAGGACAAACGCUGGCGGGGUGCAUGAGACAUGCAAGUCGCACGGGGUUGAUCGGGCUUGCUCGAUCAACCUAGUGGCGAACGGCUGAGUAACGCGUAGGUGACCUACCCGGAAGUGGGGAAUAACUGCCCGAAAGGGUGGCUAAUACCGCAUGUGGUCGGCGAAUCGGAUCGCCGUCCAAAGCCGAAAGGCGCUUCCGGAGGGGCCUGCGUCCGAUUAGCUAGUUGGCGAGGUAACGGCUCACCAAGGCGACGAUCGGUAGCUGGUCUGAGAGGAUGAUCAGCCAGACUGGGACUGAGAACGGCCCAGACUCCUACGGGAGGCAGCAGUCGGGAAUUUUGCCCAAUGGACGAAAGUCUGAGGCAGCAACUCCGCGUGAGGGAUGAAGGCUCUAGGGUCGUAAACCUCUUUUCUCAGGGAAGAUCCAAGACGGUACCUGAGGAAUAAGCCACGGCUAACUACGUGCCAGCAGCCGCGGUAAUACGUAGGUGGCGAGCGUUGUCCGGAUUUACUGGGCGUAAAGCGCGCGCAGGCGGCCGGCCAAGUCCGAUGUGAAAUCUUCCGGCUUAACUGGAAAACGGCAUCGGAUACUGGUCGGCUGGAAGGUGGGAGAGGGUAGCGGAAUUCCCGGUGUAGUGGUGAAAUGCGUAGAUAUCGGGAGGAACACCAGUGGCGAAAGCGGCUACCUGGCCCACUCUUG
RNAcentral lists this ribosomal RNA (724 nucleotides) under Dehalococcoidia bacterium. RNAcentral describes it as "bacterial SSU rRNA". It matches the Rfam family "Bacterial small subunit ribosomal RNA", at positions 1 to 742 of the family's 1533-position model. The record is from RNAcentral. Lineage: Bacteria; Bacillati; Chloroflexota; Dehalococcoidia.